Molecule: long non-coding RNA, 702 nt
Filed under: Gossypium barbadense (sea-island cotton)
Lineage: Eukaryota; Viridiplantae; Streptophyta; Magnoliopsida; Malvales; Malvaceae
Description: long non-coding RNA (GBAR_LNC001398)
Source: RNAcentral
GUGGGCAUGGCAUUACUCAAGUAUUUGGGCUUUAGGUAUUAGAUCCUGGAAGACGAGAAGAGACCAAUAUUAUUAUCAUUAUUAUUAUUCCUUUCCUUUCUCGCCACUUGGUGAGUAAUAUGGUAACAAACUUUGAUUCCAAGUCUUCCUAUUUUGACUGCUUUUAGUCUUCGGUGCCGCCAUUGCUGCCUGUAAAUAUUGACCUGUCCUUCCUUACAACAAGACCCAAAAACGUAAGUCAAUCCUGGAUUUUGACCAAUGAAUCGGUAAAUCCCAUGCUUCUAUAUUCUUCUAGCUUCUUUUUGGCUAGUCAAUUUAAACCCGCGUUUUAAUUGCUGUAGUUAUUAUUUAUUUUCCUUUUCUGGUUUAUUUUCAUCUCUGGUACCUGGAUUUUGCCUCUUUUUUUGACAUAUGUUAUUAUUUGCAGCUUCCAAUUUGACAACUUGUACCUAAACUACAAAUUAGUGAAUGGCUUUUUUAUCAUUCGACGCGUUAAGUGUGUAGCCUCACUUACUGUGCUUGUCUUCGUUUUGAUUUUAAUUUCAGACUCUUCUUGGACAUUAUUAUUAGAAUUUUGAAAGUUGGACAUUAUUUUCAAAUCAUCUUUUCUUAAUUUUAUAAUACUUUUAAAUCUCGACUACAAGAAAAAUGCAAAGAUGUAGGUCAAUUAUGGGUAUAUUUUUUUUUAAUAUUAUGAUCGAA